AUUGAACGCUGGCGGCAUGCCUAACACAUGCAAGUCGAACGGUAACAGGCCCUUCGGGGUGCUGACGAGUGGCGGAUGGGUGAGUAAUACUUAGGAAUCUACCCUGUAGUGGGGGACAACCCGGGGAAACUCGGGCUAAUACCGCAUACGCUCUACGGAGGAAAGCGGGGGACCGCAAGGCCUCGCGCGUAUUGGAUGAGCCUAAGCCCGAUUAGCUAGUUGGUGGGGUAAUAGCCUACCAAGGCAAUGAUCGGUAGCUGGGUCUGAGAGGACGACCAGCCACACUGGGACUGAGACACGGGCCCGACUCCUACGGGAGGCAGCAGUAAGGAAUAUUGGUCAAUGGACGCAAGUCUGAACCAGCCAUGCCGCGUGGAGGAUGAAGGUCCUCUGGA
This 395-nucleotide ribosomal RNA is filed under the name uncultured bacterium. RNAcentral describes it as "bacterial SSU rRNA". It matches the Rfam family "Bacterial small subunit ribosomal RNA", at positions 30 to 422 of the family's 1533-position model. The record is from RNAcentral.